RNAcentral lists this ribosomal RNA (684 nucleotides) under uncultured bacterium. RNAcentral's name for it is "bacterial SSU rRNA". It matches the Rfam family "Bacterial small subunit ribosomal RNA", at positions 23 to 732 of the family's 1533-position model. The record is from RNAcentral.
CUCAGAAUCAACGCUGGCGGCGCGCUUAACACAUGCAAGUCGAACGAGAAAGGGGAGCAAUCCCCGAGUAAAGUGGCGCACGGGUGAGUAACACGUGGGUAAUCUGCCUCUGGGUGGGGAAUAACUCUGGGAAACCGGAGCUAAUACCGCAUAAGCCCGAAAGGGGAAAGGCGAAAGUCGCCGAGAGAGGAGCCCGCGGUCGAUUAGCUAGUUGGUGGGGUAAAGGCUCACCAAGGCAGUGAUCGAUAGCCGGCCUGAGAGGGCACACGGCCACACUGGCACUGAAACGCGGGCCAGACUCCUACGGGAGGCAGCAGUGGGGAAUCUUGCACAAUGGGGGAAACCCUGAUGCAGCGACGCCGCGUGAGCGAUGAAGCCCUUCGGGGUGUGAAGCUCUUUCGGCAGGGACGAUAAUGACGGUACCUGAAGAAGAAGCUGCGGCUAACUACGUGCCAGCAGCCGCGGUAAUACGUAGGCAGCGAGCGUUGUUCGGAGUUACUGGGCGUAAAGAGUGCGUAGGCGGCGGCCCAAGUCUGGUGUGAAAUCUCCCGGCUCAACCGGGGAGGGUGCGCCGGAAACUGGGUUUGCUGGAGUGCCGGAGAGGCAGGCGGAAUUCCCGGGUGGUAGCGGGUGAAAUGCGUAGAUUAUCGGGGAGGACACCCGUGGGUGUAGACGGCCUGCUGG